RNAcentral lists this long non-coding RNA (219 nucleotides) under Hordeum vulgare. RNAcentral describes it as "long non-coding RNA (HVUL_LNC012457)". Lineage: Eukaryota; Viridiplantae; Streptophyta; Magnoliopsida; Poales; Poaceae. The record is from RNAcentral.
GGUGUACAUCUGCUCCUCUGCUCCCCUUCAUUGCCUCUCGGGUGAAAACCCUAACUCCGGUGGGCGGCGGGGACGUCCUUGAUGUCGUGACCUUCCUGAAGGCGUCGCCUUGAGGGCUGAGUGGUGGUGGGCACUGUGUGGGUCCUGAACGGUUGCUGGUGGUGGGCACUGCUUCUGGGGAAACCCUAGGAUCUGGUCUUCCAGAUCGAACGAUGGCGG